RNAcentral lists this ribosomal RNA (330 nucleotides) under uncultured eukaryote. RNAcentral describes it as "partial 18S ribosomal RNA". It matches the Rfam family "Eukaryotic small subunit ribosomal RNA", at positions 1470 to 1796 of the family's 1831-position model. The record is from RNAcentral.
CCCUUAGAUGUUCUGGGCCGCACGCGCGCUACACUGAUGCAUUCAACGAGUCUAAAACCUGGUCUGAUAGGGCUGGGUAAUCUUUUGAAAGUGCAUCGUGAUUGGGAUAGAUGAUUGCAAUUCUUCAUCUUCAACGAGGAAUGCCUAGUAAACGCAAGUCAUCAGCUUGCAUUGAUUACGUCCCUGCCCUUUGUACACACCGCCCGUCGCUCCUACCGAUUGAAUGAUCCGAUGAAUACCAUGGAUUGAGAGUACGAAUGUGUUCGCUCAUUUCUGCUGCUCGAGAAGUGGAGUAAAUCUUAUCAUUUAGAGGAAGGAGAAGUCGUAACA